AUCAAUAUGGUAGGAGAGCGUUCUGUAAGCCUGCGAAGGUGUCUUGUAAAGGAUGCUGGAGGUAUCAGAAGUGCGAAUGCUGACAUGAGUAGCGAUAAUGGGGGUGAAAAGCCUCCACGCCGUAAGCCCAAGGUUUCCUGUUCAACGUUCAUCGGAGCAGGGUGAGUCGGCCCCUAAGGCGAGGCAGAGAUGCGUAGCUGAUGGGAAGCAGGUUAAUAUUCCUGCACCGUCGUAUGAUGCGAUGGGGGGACGGAUCGCGGAAGGUUGUCAGGCGGUUGGAAGAGCCUGUUUUUGACUCAUAGAAGGUCCUUAGGCAAAUCCGGGGACGUAAUUCAAGGGGUCGAGACGAGAGACUUCGGUCUUGAAGCAAUCGGAAGUGGUUCCAAGAAAAGCCUCUAAGCUUCAGUCAUACGAGACCGUACCGCAAACCGACACAGGUGGGCGAGAUGAGUAUUCUAAGGCGCUUGAGAGAACUCGGGAGAAGGAACUCGGCAAAUUGGUACCGUAACUUCGGGAAAAGGUACGCCCUGGUAGCUUGAUUGGUUUACUCCAUGAGGGCGAACGGGUUGCAAUAAACUGGUGGCUGCGACUGUUUAAUAAAAACACAGCACUCUGCAAACACGAAAGUGGACGUAUAGGGUGUGACGCCUGCCCGGUGCUGGAAGAUUAAAUGAUGGGGUGCAAGCUCUUGAUUGAAGUCCCAGUAAACGGCGGCCGUAACUAUAACGGUCCUAAGGUAGCGAAAUUCCUUGUCGGGUAAGUUCCGACCUGCACGAAUGGCGUAACGAUGGCCACACUGUCUCCUCCCGAGACUCAGCGAAGUUGAAAUGUUUGUGAUGAUGCAAUCUACCCGCGGCUAGACGGAAAGACCCCAUGAACCUUUACUGUAGCUUUGCAUUGGACUUUGAACCAAUCUGUGUAGGAUAGGUGGGAGGCUUUGAAGCGGUGACGCCAGUCAUCGUGGAGCCAACCUUGAAAUACCACCCUGGUUUGUUUGAGGUUCUAACCUUGGUCCGUUAUCCGGAUCGGGGACAGUGCAUGGUAGGCAGUUUGACUGGGGCGGUCUCCUCCUAAAGUGUAACGGAGGAGUUCGAAGGUACGCUAGAUACGGUCGGACAUCGUGUUGAUAGUGCAAUGGCAUAAGCGUGCUUAACUGCGAGACUGACAAGUCGAGCAGGUACGAAAGUAGGACAUAGUGAUCCGGUGGUUCUGUAUGGAAGGGCCAUCGCUCAACGGAUAAAAGGUACUCUGGGGAUAACAGGCUGAUUCCUCCCAAGAGUUCAUAUCGACGGGGGAGUUUGGCACCUCGAUGUCGGCUCAUCACAUCCUGGGGCUGUAGCCGGUCCCAAGGGUAUGGCUGUUCGCCAUUUAAAGUGGUACGUGAGCUGGGUUUAAAACGUCGUGAGACAGUUUGGUCCCUAUCUGCCGUGGGCGUUGGAAAUUUGAAGGGGGCUGCUCCUAGUACGAGAGGACCGGAGUGGACAGACCUCUGGUGUACCGGUUGUCACGCCAGUGGCAUUGCCGGGUAGCUAAGUCUGGAAGAGAUAACCGCUGAAAGCAUCUAAGCGGGAAACUUGCCUUGAGAUGAGAUUUCCCAGAGCCUUGAGCUCUUUAAAGGGUCGUUCGAGACCAGGACGUUGAUAGGCUGGGUGUGGAAGUGCAGUAAUGCAUUAAGCUAACCAGUACUAAUUGCCCGUACGGCUUGU
This 1706-nucleotide ribosomal RNA is filed under the name Massilia psychrophila. RNAcentral describes it as "bacterial LSU rRNA". It matches the Rfam family "Bacterial large subunit ribosomal RNA", at positions 1219 to 2925 of the family's 2925-position model. The record is from RNAcentral. Lineage: Bacteria; Pseudomonadati; Pseudomonadota; Betaproteobacteria; Burkholderiales; Oxalobacteraceae.